CCACCCAUCCAUUACCGCUUUUUCCCGAUCGGGGUCUCAGGUGCUGGAGCCAAUCCCAGCUGUCAUUGGAUGAAGAGGCGGGGUUACACCCUGGACUGAACGCCAGAACGACAGACAACCAGCCACACUCACGUUCAGACCUACAGCACUCAGGUGUGGGAAGUAGCGGUGCAGAGGAUGCUGCAGCACCACAAUCAGACACAGACACAAAAGACAGGAGAGAUG
Molecule: non-coding RNA, 225 nt
Organism: Labrus bergylta (ballan wrasse)
Lineage: Eukaryota; Metazoa; Chordata; Actinopteri; Labriformes; Labridae
Source: RefSeq, a predicted model, not a curated record